Molecule: ribosomal RNA, 468 nt
Filed under: uncultured bacterium
Lineage: Bacteria
Description: partial 16S ribosomal RNA
Rfam family: Bacterial small subunit ribosomal RNA
Source: RNAcentral
GACGAGCGCUGGCGGCGUGCUUAACACAUGCAAGUCGAACGGAAAGGCCCUGCUUUUGUGGGGUGCUCGAGUGGCGAACGGGUGAGUAACACGUGAGUAACCUGCCCUUGACUUUGGGAUAACUUCAGGGAACUGGGGCUAAUACCGGAUAGGAGCUCCUGCUGCAUGGUGGGGGUUGGAAAGUUUCGGCGGUUGGGGAUGGACUCGCGGCUUAUCAGCUUGUUGGUGGGGUAGUGGCUUACCAAGGCUUUGACGGGUAGCCGGCCUGAGAGGGUGACCGGCCACAUUGGGACUGAGAUACGGCCCAGACUCCUACGGGAGGCAGCAGUGGGGAAUAUUGCACAAUGGGCGGAAGCCUGAUGCAGCAACGCCGCGUGCGGGAUGACGGCCUUCGGGUUGUAAACCGCUUUCGCCUGUGACGAAGCGUGAGUGACGGUAAUGGGUAAAGAAGCACCGGCUAACUACGUG